Molecule: RNA transcript, 1590 nt
Organism: Zingiber officinale
Lineage: Eukaryota; Viridiplantae; Streptophyta; Magnoliopsida; Zingiberales; Zingiberaceae
Gene name: DNA repair protein RAD51 homolog 2-like
Exons: 13
Source: RefSeq, a predicted model, not a curated record
UUGGCUUUUAGAAUCAUGUGCUUAAUUUUGGUGGUUUUAACUUCAUCUCGGUGGAAAGGAUUUGAACGGAGCAGGCUAGAGGGAUGCAAUAGGGCGGCGCGAUGUCGAACAAACUCAUCAGCCAGAUGGGUCUUCCCUCUUCCCUAGCGAACGUCUUCUCGGCUCGAAACAUCUUAACCGCCAAGGACGCCCUCUCACUGCCGGAGUUCGACCUGAUGGCGCUUCUGGACGUCGAUCGCGACCAGGUCAGGACCGCUGUCGCACGCAUAAGCGAAAUCGCCUGCCCUCCCUGCCGAACGGCGCUAUCGCUCAUGGAGGACCGCGCGCUGACCGGGGGCUACCUCCCUACGCGUCUUCUUGGCCUCGACCGCGCUCUUCGCGGCGGAAUUCCGUUUGGUGCUCUCACGGAGUUGGUCGGUCCAUCAGGAAUUGGCAAGACCCAGUUUUGCUUAAAGCUGGCUCUGUUGGCAGCCUUGCCAUCUAGCUAUGGAGGAUUAAAUGGCCGAGUAAUUUAUAUGGAUACUGAAUCUAAAUUUCAUUCUACCAGGUUGAUAGAAAUUGGUAGAAGUAGUUUUCCUCACAUAUUUAAUUCAGAGGGAAUGGCUCAAGAGAUGGCUGGAAGGAUCAUAGUUUUGCGACCUGCAUCAUUAGAUGAAUUGACUGAGAGUUUGCAACAGAUUCAGCUGAUUAUUCUCCAACAUGAUGUAAAGUUGUUGAUUGUUGAUAGCAUGGCUGCAAUUCUUUUGGGAGAGAAUGAAAGGAGCACAACUGGACAGAAGCAACAUUCAUGCCAUUUGCCACUUUCAUUUCUCAAGUCCCUUGCUGAAUUUUCACAAAUUCCUAUUGUGGUGACAAACCAGGUGCGGAGUCAGAAUAAUUAUGAAGUUGUUCACUAUCCAUUCCAAGGUAAUAUGGAUAGGACAAGCUGCAUGCUUGAAAAGCUAGAGUCUCACUUAAUUGCUUCUUUAGGGAUCCAAUGGGCUCAUGCUGUAACCAUCCGUCUCAUAUUUGAGGCUCACUCUGGAGGAUGAGUCCAACACCCAAGAUGUUCUUUGCAAUCUCAGCUGCUCAAAUCAUGCCACUAAACUAUGGAGAAGAUAGUGAUUCUUCUCCUAUCUUUUUUUUUGGAUGAAGGUCAGAGGUUUAUUAAGAUUUCAAAAUCUCCCACAUCCCCGGCAAUAGCAUUUCCGUUCCUUGUGAAGUCCUCUGGAAUUGCAUUACUAAGUGAUGAAGGUCUAGAAGUUACAGGCUCGGAGAUGAGCACAAUACGAUGUGAAGGCCUAAACGUUCUUGUUGAGGGAGCUGAACCAUUCCCUCAUCUUGGAUGCUAAUCAAUGGUAGGUUUCUUUUGCACUUAGCAUCCAGAAUUUUUUGUUCUGCCAGGUUCGUUUGAAAGAUGCACUUGUUUGGUUCCCUGUGGUGGUUCUAUAUUUUGUUUUCUUAUGUUGUGUUGUUUGUUUAUUGGGAUUGACUCCCAAAAAUUCUUCAAAAUGGGCAUUUCUAAACAUAUAGCUAGCUUGUAUAAUGGAAUUGCUGCAUCAUGAGUAAGAAUAUGCUCUUCAUUUUGUCUUGAAAAUAUUUUGAAAGACA